AACAAACGCUGGCGGCGUGCCUAAUACAUGCAAGUCGAACGGGGAAAGUAGCAAUAUGAGUACUAGUGGCGCACGGGUGAGUAACGCGUGGAUAAUCUGCCUUGAAGAGGGGGAUAACUAGUCGAAAGAUUAGCUAAUACCGCAUAAGACCACAAGAACUGAGGUUCAAGGGGUCAAAGGUUUUUCGCUUCAAGAUGAGUCCGCGUAAGAUUAGCUAGUUGGUGAGGUAAUGGCUCACCAAGGCAACGAUCUUUAACUGGUCUGAGAGGAUGAUCAGUCACACUGGAACUGAGACACGGUCCAGACUCCUACGGGAGGCAGCAGUAGGGAAUAUUGCACAAUGGAGGAAACUCUGAUGCAGCGACGCCGCGUGAGUGAUGAAGGCCUUCGGGUAGUAAAGCUCUGUCGCAGGGGAAUAACACAAUGAAUGUACCCUGUAAGAAAGGAUCGGCUAACUUCGUG
This 462-nucleotide ribosomal RNA is filed under the name uncultured bacterium. RNAcentral's name for it is "partial 16S ribosomal RNA". It matches the Rfam family "Bacterial small subunit ribosomal RNA", at positions 29 to 507 of the family's 1533-position model. The record is from RNAcentral.